This 465-nucleotide ribosomal RNA is filed under the name uncultured bacterium. RNAcentral describes it as "partial 16S ribosomal RNA". It matches the Rfam family "Bacterial small subunit ribosomal RNA", at positions 28 to 507 of the family's 1533-position model. The record is from RNAcentral.
GAUGAACGCUGGCGGCGUGCUUAACACAUGCAGGUCGAACGGAAAGGCCCAAGCUUGCUUGGGUACUCGAGUGGCGAACGGGUGAGUAACACGUGGGUGAUCUGCCCUGCAUUUCGGGAUAAGCCUGGGAAACUGGGUCUAAUACCGGAUAGGACCACAUUUUGGAUGGUGUGGUGUAAAGUUUUUCGGUGUGGGAUGAGCUCGCGGCCUAUCAGCUUGUUGGUGGGGUAAUGGCCUACCAAGGCGUCGACGGGUAGCCGGCCUGAGAGGGUGUACGGCCACAUUGGGACUGAGAUACGGCCCAGACUCCUACGGGAGGCAGCAGUGGGGAAUAUUGCACAAUGGGCGCAAGCCUGAUGCAGCGACGCCGCGUGGGGGAUGACGGCCUUCGGGUUGUAAACUCCUUUCGCUAGGGACGAAGCGCAAGUGACGGUACCUGGAGAAGAAGCACCGGCUAACUACGUG